Molecule: ribosomal RNA, 496 nt
Filed under: uncultured bacterium
Lineage: Bacteria
Description: partial 16S ribosomal RNA
Rfam family: Bacterial small subunit ribosomal RNA
Source: RNAcentral
GAUGAACGCUGGCGGCGUGCCUAAUACAUGCAAGUCGAGCGAACAGACGAGGAGCUUGCUCCUCUGACGUUAGCGGCGGACGGGUGAGUAACACGUGGAUAACCUACCUAUAAGACUGGGAUAACUUCGGGAAACCGGAGCUAAUACCGGAUAAUAUAUUGAACCGCAUGGUUCAAUAGUGAAAGACGGUUUUGCUGUCACUUAUAGAUGGAUCCGCGCCGCAUUAGCUAGUUGGUAAGGUAACGGCUUACCAAGGCAACGAUGCGUAGCCGACCUGAGAGGGUGAUCGGCCACACUGGAACUGAGACACGGUCCAGACUCCUACGGGAGGCAGCAGUAGGGAAUCUUCCGCAAUGGGCGAAAGCCUGACGGAGCAACGCCGCGUGAGUGAUGAAGGUCUUCGGAUCGUAAAACUCUGUUAUUAGGGAAGAACAAAUGUGUAAGUAACUAUGCACGUCUUGACGGUACAUAAUCAGAAAGCCACGGCUAACUACGU